UCCGUGACAUAGCAACGAAAAUCCCCAAUCGUGUCCACAUAUCGGCGGCGCUGACCAUCACCUGCGCCGGGCGGGCGGCGCUGCGGCCACCAUCACCUGCGCCGGGUGGGCAGCGGGCGGCGCCGCGGCCGGCCAUCACCUGCGCCGGGCGGGCAGCCGGCGGCGCCGCGGCCAACCAUCACCUGCGCCGCGCGGGGAGAGUGUGGCGCCGUGGCCGUCCAUCACCUGCACCGAUCAGGCGGCGGGCAGCGGCCGGCGGCAGAGGGCAUCAUCUGCGGGGUACAGAGCGGGAAACGGACGGCGUCAUCUGCUGUUCUAAGUUCUGCAGUGAAAGAUGGACAGAAGCUGGAUAAAAGCUAGGAAAUUUUCCGAAGAAUACAUCAAUGGAGUGAAAGAGUUCAUGAAUUUCGUUCGUGAAACCUAUGCCGAGGAUGCUCAAAUUCUUUGCCCGUGCCGCAAAUGUCUCAAUCGUAAACACGGACCUCAAGGGAAAGUGGAGGAUCAUAUUCUUAUUUAUGGGAUGUUUAGCACAUAUGAUAGGUGGAUUCAUCAUGGAGAACCAUUAAAUGUUGAAGCUGAUGGAGAUGCACAACAUGUGGAUGGAGCUACUGAUAUUGUGGUAGAUGUUGCUGAAAAGGAUGUUCGUUUGGAGGAGGAGGAUCUAUAUGAAGAUGAUAGAAUUCAUGACAUGAUACAGGAUCUGUAUGGAUCGGAGGACACGAGUAGACAGCAGUCAAAGUUUGCAAAAGUGAUAGAAGAGGCAAAGUGCUCACUUUACGAAGGGUCUGAAACUUCAAGAUUUUCAUUUGUCGUGAAGUUACUCCACAUCAAGUCUUUCUAUCGGAUCUCCAAUGUUGCAUUUAAUGCAAUACCCGCGUUGUUGGCCAAGUCAUUCCCGAAGUGCUCUAUUCCUAAAUCUUAUGAUGAAGCACUGAAAUUUAUCCGUGCAUUGGGGCUAGGCUAUGAUUCAAUCCAUGUGUGCCCAAAUAAUUGUGUCCUUUUCAGAAAACAAUAUGCCAACCAUGACGAAUGUCCGGUAUGUGGUGCAUCGAGAUGGAAGGACUCAGAUGGGAAAAAACAGAUUCCGAUGAAAGUAUUGAGACAUUUCCCAUUGAUCCCGAGGUUUCAGCGGAUGUAUUGUUCGAAGAAGUCAUCAGAAGAGGUACAAUGGCACAAGCUGAAAAAGAAACCCGUGGAAAAUGAAAUAAGUCAUCCAGUUGACAGUGAAGCAUGGAAAGACUUUGAUAAAAAACAUAGAGAUUUUGCUGAAGAUGCACGGAACCAGAGAAUUGGCAUUGGUACAGAUGGGUUUAAUCCGUUUGGAAAAAUGAGUGCUUCCUAUAGCAUGUGGCCUGUAUUUGUGAUGCCUUAUAACCUGCCACCAUGGGCAUGUAUGGAUCAGUGCAACCUCAUGAUGGCCAUACUUAUACCCGGUCCAAAUUCUCCAGGGAAGGAUUUUGAUUUGUUCUUGGAGCCUCUAGUCGAAGAGUUGCUUGAGCUUUGGAAGGGUGUAAGUACCUAUGAUGCCUUAAGUGAAAAAAAAAUUAAUCUACGUGCAGCAGUCCUAUGGUGCAUCCAUGAUUAUCCAGGAUUGAGCACUCUGUCAGGAAGAGUCAUGAGUGGCUACUAUGCGUGUCUGCACUGUGACAAAGAUCCCUGCUCACAGAGGAUAAGGAACAAGAUAUGUUAUAUUGGACAUCGUCGUUUUCUUCCUCGAGCGCAUCGCUGGCGAAGAAGCAAAGCUUUCAAUGGUAAGAGUGAAAACCGUGACAAGCCAGAGGAAUUCAGUACAGAAGAGCUGCUGCUGGAAUUGAAGAAUGUCAAAGAUGUAAGACCAGGAAACCAUCCUCAAAACAAGAAAAGAAAGUGUAAAGAUGCUGGUCAAUGCUGGAAACGGAAGGUUUGUUUGUGGGACCUGCCAUACUGGAUAGAUUUGAAACUGAGGCAUAAUCUUGAUGUAAUGCACAUCGAGAAAAACAUAUGUGACAACCUACUUGGGACAUUUCUAAACAUUGAUGGUAAGAUAAAGGAUACGGCUAAUGCUAGGCUUGAUUUGGAAGACAUGGGCAUAAGACCAGAUUUACACCUCGACCGUGAUGAGGAUGGAAAUCUAGUUUGUUUGCCAGAAGCAUGGUACACAAUGACAAAAGAACAGAAGCUUGCAUUCUGUGAAUUUAUAAGACAAGUUAGAUUUCCAGAUGGGUAUGCUGCUAACUUAGCAAAAUGUGUUAGUCCCGAUGGAUGCAAGCUUCAAUCACAGAAAACACAUGAUUGCUAUGUCCUCCUCCAAAGACUUAUACAAGUUGGUAUUCGUGGAAUCAUGGAUAAGGAGAUAUAUGAAGCUGUCGCUGAUUUGGGAAAAAAAUAGAGAGCUGUGUUGCAAAACUUUGAAGCUAGAUGUUUUAGAAAGACUUAAGGAAGAAAUCCUAGUUAUUCUUUGCAAACUCGAGAAAAUUUUUCCUCCAGCUUUCUUUGAUGUCAUGGUGCAUCUAGCCGUUCAUUUACCGGAUGAGGCAAUUCUUAGAGGCCCGGUGCAGUACGGAUGGAUGUAUCCAAUUGAGAGAAGGCUACUUACUUGUAAGCGUUAUGUGAGGGACAUGGCCAGACCUGAAGGAUCGAUUGUAGAAGAAUAGGCGCCGCCAUCUCAAGAAGAAGCAUUUUGACAAUGUACCGGCCAAUCUAGUGAGUGUCAAAUCUCCUAAUAAGAAUGUGAUAGAUGCGGAGUGGCAAAGGCUGGUCAAGAUGUGGUCUACCCCAAGGCACAAGGAAACCUGUCAGUCGAACAAGGAGAACCGUUCCAAAGUUAAGUUCCAUCAGAAAACUGGUUCUCGCCCGUACAUUUCCCAUGUGCAUGCUUUGAAAGAGGCUUGUAAGGGUGAAGAGUUCACUGCGUUUGAUCUAUUCAAGGAGUGCCACAAUGGCAGGAAGACUGGUUUCUCUGAGCUAGUUAAGAAGGUGAUAGCUGACAUGGAAAAAGCUAUGGAACAAGGGGUACCAGAAGGUGGAGAACCAAAGAAUGUUGCUGCUGUUGUUGCUGACAUUCUCACUAAAGAAUGUCCCUCCAGCACAUUCCUUCAAAAUGUUGGCUUUGAGUUGAGCUCCAAGAAGAAGUUCAACAGAUCUGCAGCUGCUUUGGAUGCUCAUGUACAAGAACUAGAGUACAGGCUUGAGAAGGAGAGGCGAGCCGCUGAGUUGAUGCGAGAGGAGCUUGUUGAGGUCAAGAAGAAAUCAGAGGAGACUGAAGCUGCAUGCGCCGCAGAGUAUCAGUUGUUACUGCAAAGAGUUGAGGCCACCGAUGCUAGGGCUGCAGCAAGUGAUGCUAGAUUUGUGCGUCUCAUGGAUCUGUUCGAAGGUAAAAUAGUUUAGUAUGACGUGGUUGAUGUUGGCUUUGGGACUUUUGAUGUUGAGUUGUUGGGACCUGGGGUUGAUGAGUUUCUUUGACUGGACAUGUGAACCACAAUAUAGACCAGAGAUUGGUUGUGGUUUGAUGAGGUUGUGUUUUGGUUGGUGCAUCUUAUGAACAUGGUGUACUGAUACUAAGCUACUGGCUAUGUUAUUUUGGUUGGUGCAUCUUAUGAACUUGUGGUGUAAUGAUACUGUUGGGCCUAAGUUAAUGAAAUCUUGGAGAAUUGUA
Molecule: non-coding RNA, 3634 nt
Organism: Triticum urartu
Lineage: Eukaryota; Viridiplantae; Streptophyta; Magnoliopsida; Poales; Poaceae
Source: RefSeq, a predicted model, not a curated record